CAAGCAGGAAGGUGGCCAUUGCUCCUCAGAGUGGAGGAGGAGGGCAGGGAAGGUUUUGGCCGCCGCCCCCUCCUGCGCCUGGUUCUGCGUUGGGCUGGCAGGAGCACCGGGAUGGAACUGUUGGGGCUGCCGCAGGGACAUUAUGACGGGACUUCCAGCAGGGGCACAAGGUGUAUCUCCUUUCCUGUGUCCCCGUGUGUCUCUCCCCAAAUCUGUGCUGCGUUUCUGUCAUGGAGAUGUCAAUCAGGGGCCAUCCUCACAGCAUGACCUUGUCUAACAGAGAACUGUAAAGGCCCUACUUCCAAAGUUGCCCUCUGGGAAAUGAAGUCUCCUUCCCAUUUAUUCUGCAGUUGGAGGAAUCAAGGCAGGUAGUCUGGAGGGGCAGCAAGAGCGGAGGAGCUGUGCGCAGAGGGUGUGCCGAUUCCGACUCAGGGGGCUUCAUGAAUAUCUGCUGAACAAAUGAGCACAUGACCCUAUCACCUCGGUGUCCCCAGAAAGUCAUGGCAAGCUACUGUCCCCUGGAGAAGGUUGCAGUGGGAGAUGGGAUAUUGGCACCUGGCACAGCUGGAAAAGUAGGAAGCCAGAUUGGGGCAUGUGGGUGAGGGGCUCUGCGUGCUCUGGGUCCAGGCAGCAAGAGACACAUUGUCCGUGGAGAAUGCACAAACAAUCAAGCUCACUAAAAGCCCGUGUGUAUUUUGUUGUCACCAUACACUGGUAAGUUAAAACAAUGUCACUGAGAAAUUCUCAUAUCCAGGGCAGCUCAGUUUGUGUGCUGCCCAAACUCACGUGCUUCACCUCUGGCUCCGGUGGCCCUCCCGCUGGGUGUCUUGUUGGCCACUGUAGCACCUCAGGGUUGUGGUUGAGGACCUGACCUGUGCCAAGAGUGCUGUUGUCACCUUCAGCUGCAAUGGCCUUAGGAAAGAAGCCCGUGCUGGCUUUCAGGUUUCCUGGCUUCGUGGCAGGGCCAGGCCUGGCUCCUGGCACACCCAAGGGCUGAGCGGGCUCUGCCUCCAACUCUGCGCCCUGUUGGCUGCACCUUGCUUUCCCUCCAGGAGGCAGGCUGCCCGGGGCCGCAGAUGGCCGCUUCAGGGGUCAGUGCUGUGGGGAGAUGGCUGUUCUGCCACAGGGUCCCCGUUUCUUAUUUGUGAUCUGCUGCUCUUCAUGGUGCUUUAGCACAAAUAGGCAGUGACAGCUCCAGACUUCAAAACUCUCCUGGGGACAGGAACGCAGCCUGGCCAGGGUCCCCCAUGCAGCUCUCCUGGUAAGAAGAGGCGGGGCAGGGACACACGAAGGUGCCUUGGAACAGGUGGCUUCCUGAGAGCAAGGGGAGUGAGCAGGGGAGGGCCUCUCAGGGGGCAGAGAAGGGCAGGUCUUGGAGGCUGAUCCAUCUUGUCCUGUGCUCUUCCUGCUCCAUAAAAACAGACACAUUGCAAAAGGGAAAGAAGGAAAAAUCAGUCCUUUCGAGUGUGGUUAGAGCCCCUCCCUCUGCUUCUUGCCCUCUUACUCUCCUGUUUUCUUCCCCAGAGGAAGGGAUGUGCAUUUCAGUUCUUGAAGACUUCAGCCAGCUCAGGGCCCAGCUCGAGUGCCCUAGGACCCACCGUGUACCCAGCACAGGACACCCUGACUCCUGCCACCCUCAAAAUAGCCCCCGGAAGGUUAUAUUUUGUUGUUUGUUUUAAUUCAACAAAUAUCAGAGUGUUUCCUCCGUCCUGGACACUGGGCCACAGUGGUCAACAGGUUAGACAGUGUUCCACCGUCAUGGCUCCGACCGUCUACAGCGGGGAGACUGUGAGAGGUCUGAUAAAUGAUCUACAGGGAGUCAUCCGGGUGAUAAGCUGCAGAGCCACUGGGGGGUACCCCGGGUUGGAGAGUCAGAGGAGGUAACAUGGAGGUGAGAGAUAAAGGAAGCUGGGAGAACCAGCUCCCAGCUCUUCAAAGAACAGGGCCAAGGAGGAGCAACAGAGGCAGAGGGAGCGGUAGGCCCAAAGGAUGGGAAAGGGCUCUGCAGACCCCCAAAAACAAAGGCAGUGAGAUUGGCCAAAGUGAGUGGUCCACAGAGGAGAGGGGCAGGUGAGAGGUGCUGAGGAGGGGCGUGGGUCACCAGGAGAGUUGGAGUUUUACUUGGGGAGCAAUGGACAGUCACUGAAAGCAUGUAAGAAGGAGAAACAUGUGCCUUUGUUUGUGUUUCAUGAGCUCGUCCUGGCCACUGUGUCGAGAGUGCAAUAGAGUGGACAUUGGCUGAGAGGUCUGUGGGGAAACCACUGUGCUGACAGAAGUAAAAGAUGGCGGAAUGGUGACGGUGGCGGUGCAUGUGGCGUCUCUGACUCCAUCGCAGUCCUUUGGUUUGGAGAUAUUCUGACCCCUUCCUCUCCCCGGCCCCCUCCACACCCAUCUGCCCAUCUUCAGGCUUUGUGAGGAUUGGGGACCUUCUCUCACUUCGUCUCCCUAACUGCAGAGACUGGCUGGGCGCUUUGCAUUGUCACGGGGGGAUACCAGACAACUGAUGCCCAUCAACAGAUAAUGGAAACUUGAUGUGUUUAUUGAAUACGUAAAUUCUUAGCUAUUUAUUAAAAGAAAUGCUCUGAGGAUAGCUCUUAGGUAAUGCUGCUUGGAAUUACUACAUUCGAUCCAACGGCAAUAAAACUGUAUUUGCGGCUUUAAAACUCAUGGUAGCUGUGAGACCUGGAGUAAGUCUCUUGGCCUCUCUGCAAGGCCUGUUUCCCGCUGCGUGGGGCAUGUCAAAUGUACCCGUUUAUCAGGCGGGGCUCUGCUCCUGGCUCUGCCGGGGAAGAGUGCCCUGCACCCGAGAGGGAGAAGUUUGCACUGGGUCCAUCCUGAGCAAAGACACACGGGCCAGCUCUGGGCUCUUGGGAAAGAUAUUGACAUGACAAGGGUGGAUUAUUUUUAUAAUAAAAAAAGGUCAAGUUAGCCAUGGUUGGUCUAAAAACAAGCAUGGUUGGUUCUCCCCCUGAAUUCUCUCUCAAUCCACCAGUCUCAACAUCCUCCCUGCCCCCUCAUGGUCUGGACCCCCAGCCCCAGCCCCCUCUUUCAAGGGCCCCUCUCUCUCUGCUUCCCUUCAUGCUCCACGCUCCAUGUGCUCAUCGCUCAGCCGCCCAAGUGACAUUUUAACAACAUAAAUUAAAUCACCUCCUGCUCUGCUUAAAACACUUUAGGGAUUACACGACAGUCCAGAUAAAUCUCUCUGCUCCUCACUGUGCUCUUGAAGGACAGCCCGGCCUUCCUCUUCAGCUUCAACCCCCACCUCUCCCUCAGCUGGCUGCAGCCACACCGGGCUCCUCAGUUCUCCAGGUCUGACCCCCAGGGCCUCCCUGACUCUGUGGCCUCCAGUCGGCAAGCUCUGCCCCUCGCUUUUUGCAAGGAUGGCUCUCGGGCCUCAGCAUAAAUGUCACCUGUUUGGAGAGGUCCUCCCUGCCUGGCACAUAAUAGAUGCUCAAUAAGUAGUCACUACGUGAACAGAUUCUCCCCACUCUGCAUGACCCCCAGCAUGGAGAACAGAAGAGGGAAAGAAGUAAUCUUGGCAUCUUGAGGUUUCAUUUUGGGCAACACUAGAUGACAGUGCCCUGGCCUUGGUGGUAGUUUGAGCUCCCACGAAGGUGCGCCCCACCCUGUGCAGGCAAACCACAGGCCCCGUGCUGCCCACUAGCGUGGGUCUAUUUGAACAUGCAUGUAGAACAAUCCCUCUCAAAGCUCAGACUUCCAGAAAUACUUCAAGGGAGUUCUCGGUGGGCAUCUGAGGUCUGACCUGGUUGUGGGGAGCCGAGGCCUGUCCGUCUUGAGCCUUGUGCUAGUGACACUCACUAAUGGCGGCCCACUUCCCUCAUGGCCUCUGCUCUCAGUGGUAAAUCAAAUUGUUUCUGCCUUCCUGCCCAUCUUGCAUCUUUGAACAGGGAGUCAGGCUCUGCACACACUCUAGGAAUCUGAGGGAGGCCGUCACGAAGCACUGGGGCUCAGGUCUGGGGGAAAGGUGUGAACAGAGCGGGCUGUCACGAUGGCGCAUGGACCACAAGCCAAAAUCAAGACCUCAAACUGGCUGCUGGCGGAGUUUCGGGCUUAGGCUGUCUACUUUUUCACAGUCAAAAAGGAGGAGAUAGAGUUUGGAGCCAAGGCAUGUCCCUUCACCUCCUUCCUCCUGGAAGCCACAGAUGUCCCCUGAGUGCCUGUUCACUCCGGGGCUAACCCCUGCUGUGGCAUUGGAGGGAGCCCCCCCCAUGUGGGUGAGGAGCUGAGGGCCUGGGCAGCACUAUCUCCCCUGCCAUGCUUCUCCUUGUCGAGAAGCACUUCUGAGUUGGGAAGAGGUUAGGGGAAAGACUGGGACUUAUUGGCUUGCCAUGGUCCCUCCCAUGGCACACAGGUUGGUGGCUGUGACUGAGCCUUAUCAGAUGCGUUGGUGAGAAGGUUGGAACUUGUGGCCUGAUGCACCUUGGGCAAGUUGCCUGAACUCUCUGGACCUCACCUUUUUCUCUGUAAAGUGGGGCUGAUGACACCAGCCUCACGGGGUGUCAUGCAGUGGCCAGAGCUGACAGGUCAAGGGCUGAGCCAUUUUGUAAGUGAGGGCCCUGGAUUCAGAGAAGUGGAGUAGAUGUCAAAGUCCAGCUCGACCCCAGGACACCUGCCUGUCUCCACAGCACCCUGCUCCUUCUCUCCCGCCUGCCUGGGAGCCUGGCAUGGCCUGCGCUAAUGUGUGACUCCCUGUUCCCCAGUGAGGAGCUUCAGGCCCCAUGGUGACAGUCUCUGUGGACAUGUGGAUAGGCUUUCGUGUCAAGCUAACUGAUCUGUGGCCCCCUGGACUCUCAGAGGGCCAUUGGAAGCCACCAGAAAGCUUUCAACUAGGGAAAAUGUCGAAAGAUGUUCAACUACGUCUGGUUUGAAAUGACCAUGUGGCAGCUGGGGAAGACUUGGAGGGAGUGGCCAUGGGGAGCCUGAGGUGGUGGGAGACGUGCUGGCUCCGGGAACACAGUGUGGCUUUGAUUCCCAGGGGCUGCCCUCUGCCUGCAGUGCUCUGCUCAGCUGCAAGAACAGGCUGCCCCGCCCCCGCUGACUACAUCUGUCUGGUCUGUUUAUUUCCUUGCUGCCCCUGAGGCCAGGGAGAGAAUAGGAGGGAGCACCUACCCAGGCCAGGUUCUUGAAAACUCAGAAAACCAUGUUAUCCCAGGAACGGCUGGCAAGGAAAGAAAAUGCUGUCAUUUACAUUUUACAGCUGGGGAAACUGAGGCUCAGAGAAGGAACGUGACUUGCUCAAGGUCAUGCAGCAGUUUGGGGGCAGAGUUGGGGUCUCUACCAGGCUCUCUAUAUGGCCUCUGCCUCUCCUUCAUUGAGGCUAGGAUGGGGGUGUCUUUUGGCCUUCAGGGGUUCCUUGCACCUUGGAAAGGAAGGAAAUAGUGGAACAAAAUAAAGACAAAUUUCCUGCUUCUUUGGCAUCUGCUCCUUUUAGAGGUCUCUCUGCCACGACAAUGAGUGCUUAUAUGUUAUAAAUCACAUGACCCUUUUUAUUGAACAUAGGAGCCUGUCAGUCUCUACGCAAACUUCUUAGGUGGUAAUAUCUCAAAAAUGUUACAAGACCCUAUAAGGUGGGUGCCAUAGCUCUGCCCUUGCUGUGCAGAGGAAACCAAAGUCCAAACUUUCUAUAA
Molecule: non-coding RNA, 5648 nt
Organism: Ictidomys tridecemlineatus (thirteen-lined ground squirrel)
Lineage: Eukaryota; Metazoa; Chordata; Mammalia; Rodentia; Sciuridae
Source: RefSeq, a predicted model, not a curated record